GUGGCACUGGGUGAGCUCUGAGCUCCCUUCCCACCCAAAGCAUCCCAGGAAUUCUGAAGGAGGCCCCUCCUUCUCCUGCCUCUCCCUCCCCAAGCAGGGGAACAUUCGUUUUCAGCACAAAAUGUAAAGCAGGGCUCAUUUCAUUUAAGGGUCCCCACUGCCAGCUCCAGCUCUUUAUCUGACAGCAACCCAGAGGAAUAACUCAUAAAAACAGUGCAAAGAGGCUUGAAAAUUAAUUUAUUGCACAUUUUGCUAGCUGAGCCAGGAUGCAGGGGAGCUCCAGCCACUCCUGCCUGCCCUGCACAGGGCAGUGGCACCACGGACCCCAGUGCCCACCUGCCAGGGCUGCAGCCCUGCAAACGCCGCUAAUUGAGCAGUAAUUAACCCAGUAAUUAGUAGUGGUUAGAAACAGACCCAUCUGUGAUUAGAGCUGAGCCUGGAGGAGCAGAGCCCUGUGCUCCAGAUCCUGAUCCCACUGCAGCUCCCAGCACCGAGCCCUGCCUGGGGGAGAGCCCAGGGCAGGCCUGGCUUAAUUUUAACUCCUGGUUUAAGGCCUGUUUUAACUCCUGGUUUAAGGCUUGUUUUAAUUCCUGGUUUAAGGCCUGGUUUAAUUUUAACUCCUGGUUUAAGGCUUGUUUUAACUCCUGGUUUAAAGCCUGAUUUAAUUUUAACUCCUGGUUUAACACUUGGUUCAAGGCCUGAUUGGAUAGGAUGGGAAUGGGAUGGGGCUGGGGAUGGGACAGGGAUGGGAUGGGGCAGGGCUGCCCUCACUCACCAGAGCUGCCCUGUCCUGGCACGAGGCUCCUGCCCAGCCCAGGGGUGACAGGGGGCUCAAGUUGGGGACAAAACCCAGCCCAGGGGUGACAGGGGUGUCAGGCUGG
Molecule: long non-coding RNA, 881 nt
Filed under: Lonchura striata (white-rumped munia)
Lineage: Eukaryota; Metazoa; Chordata; Aves; Passeriformes; Estrildidae
Description: domestica (Bengalese finch) lncRNA (ENSLSDG00000002289.1)
Source: RNAcentral